This 67-nucleotide transfer RNA is filed under the name Marmota monax (woodchuck). Its description in RNAcentral is "tRNA.Ala". The record is from RNAcentral. Lineage: Eukaryota; Metazoa; Chordata; Mammalia; Rodentia; Sciuridae.
GGUUGUAGCUCAGUGGCAGAGCUCUUUCCUAGCAUGCGUGAGGCACUGGGUUCGAUCCUCAGCACCA